This is a long non-coding RNA of Alosa sapidissima (American shad), 414 nucleotides long. RefSeq lists it as uncharacterized. The transcript has 3 exons. The record is from RefSeq and is a predicted model, not a curated record. NCBI's taxonomy places the organism in Eukaryota, Metazoa, Chordata, Actinopteri, Clupeiformes, Clupeidae.
UUGGUAAUGUUACAUAUUUGGCAGUUUCUUUCUGAUGAUAAAAGUAAUGUAUGUUUAUGUUCUACAUCUGUGUUACAGGUCAUUCACCAGUGGCUCCAGUCUGGUUUGGGGGUCUACCCUUUCUCAUCCUGGCCUGCCAGCCAAGUAAAAAGAGAAAUAACUACAGACCUCUGCAACUGCUGAUACCGGUUCAGGAUGAAUUGCAGAUGCUGUGAGCGAGUCAGUGGUUCAACCAGCCUGUCAACAAACAGGAAAAGCUCAAGUCGGAGUCUUAACUGUCAGCAACUCUACCCAAAAAAAUCAGGCUACUGUUAUUGCCCACUAAGAAAAACAGUGGUCUGGUAUGAAGGUUAUCUGUGUUUUGGAACAUGUUCUUAAUAUUCAUUAAAUAAUAAAAAAAAGUUUGACACUUUA